RNAcentral lists this ribosomal RNA (443 nucleotides) under uncultured bacterium. RNAcentral describes it as "bacterial SSU rRNA". It matches the Rfam family "Bacterial small subunit ribosomal RNA", at positions 355 to 788 of the family's 1533-position model. The record is from RNAcentral.
UAGGGAAUCUUCGGCAAUGGACGAAAGUCUGACCGAGCAACGCCGCGUGAGUGAAGAAGGUUUUCGGAUCGUAAAACUCUGUUGGUAAAGAAGAACAAGGGUGAGAGUAAAAUGUUCACCCUCCUGACGGUAUUUACCCAGAAAGCCACGGCUAACUACGUGCCAGCAGCCGCGGUAAUACGUAGGUGGCAAGCGUUGUCCGGAUUUAUUGGGCGUAAAGCGGGCGCAGGCGGUCUUCUAAGUCUGAUGUGAAAGCCCCGGCUCAACCGGGGAGGGUCAUUGGAAACUGGGAGACUUGAGUGCAGAAGAGGAGAGUGGAAUUCCAGGUGUAGGAGUGAAAUCCGUAGAUAUCUGGAGGAACAUCAGUGGCGAAGGCGACUAUCUGGCACAUAACUGACACUGAGGAGCGAAAGCGUGGGUAGCAAAGCAGGAUUAGAUACCCC